UGGGGAAUAUUGCACAAUGGGCGGAAGCCUGAUGCAGCAACGCCGCGUGAGGGAUGACGGCCUUCGGGUUGUAAACCUCUUUUAGCAGGGAAGAAGCGAGAGUGACGGUACCUGCAGAAAAAGCGCCGGCUAACUACGUGCCAGCAGCCGCGGUAAUACGUAGGGCGCAAGCGUUAUCCGGAAUUAUUGGGCGUAAAGAGCUCGUAGGCGGUUUGUCGCGUCUGCUGUGAAAUCCCGAGGCUCAACCUCGGGCCUGCAGUGGGUACGGGCAGACUAGAGUGCGGUAGGGGAGAUUGGAAUUCCUGGUGUAGCGGUGGAAUGCGCAGAUAUCAGGAGGAACACCGAUGGCGAAGGCAGAUCUCUGGGCCGUAACUGACGCUGAGGAGCGAAAGGGUGGGGAGCAAACAGGCUUAGAUACCCUGGUAGUCCACCCGUAAACGUUGGGAACUAGUUGUGGGACCAUUCCACGGUUUCCGUGACGCAGCUAACGCAUUAAGUUCCCCGCCUGGGGAGUACGGCCGCAAGGCUAAAACUCAAAUGAAUUGACGGGGUCAUAGCUGUUUCCU
Molecule: ribosomal RNA, 566 nt
Filed under: uncultured bacterium
Lineage: Bacteria
Description: partial 16S ribosomal RNA
Rfam family: Bacterial small subunit ribosomal RNA
Source: RNAcentral